ACGGCGUCGUUUGGCACCUCGAUGUCGGCUCAUCACAUCCUGGGGGGGGAGCACCUCCCAAGGGUUCGGCUGUUCGCCGAUUAAAGUGGUACGUGAGCUGGGUUUAGAACGUCGUGAGACAGUUCGGUCCCUAUCUGCCGUGGGUGUAGGAAAAUUGAGAGGAUUUGUCCCUAGUACGAGAGGACCGGGAUGAACAUACCUCUGGUGGAUCGGUUGUCGCGCCAGCGGCACAGCCGAGUAGCUACGUAUGGACGGGAUAAACGCUGAAAGCAUCUAAGCGUGAAACCCACCUCAAAACCAGUUUUCCCUUGAGAGCCGUGAUAGACGAUCACGUUGAUAGGCCGGGUGUGGAAGAGCGGCAACGCUUGCAGCUUACCGGUACUAAUCGCUCGAUUGGCUUGAUUGC
RNAcentral lists this ribosomal RNA (406 nucleotides) under Parvibaculum sp. RNAcentral's name for it is "partial 23S ribosomal RNA". It matches the Rfam family "Bacterial large subunit ribosomal RNA", at positions 2508 to 2925 of the family's 2925-position model. Lineage: Bacteria; Pseudomonadati; Pseudomonadota; Alphaproteobacteria; Hyphomicrobiales; Parvibaculaceae. The record is from RNAcentral.